RNAcentral lists this ribosomal RNA (425 nucleotides) under uncultured bacterium. RNAcentral's name for it is "bacterial SSU rRNA". It matches the Rfam family "Bacterial small subunit ribosomal RNA", at positions 357 to 773 of the family's 1533-position model. The record is from RNAcentral.
AGGAAUUUUGCGCAAUGGGGGAAACCCUGACGCAGCAACGCCGCGUGAGUGAUGAAGGCUUUCGGGUCGUAAAGCUCUGUCAAGUGGGAAGAACCACUUCGAGGAUAAUACCCUUGAGGUCUGACGGUACCACUGCAGGAAGCACCGGCUAACUCCUUGCCAGCAGCCGCGGUAAUACGGGGGGUGCAAGCGUUAUUCGGAUUUCCUGGGCGUAAAGCGCGCGUAGGCGGCCGUUUAAGUCAGAUGUGAAAGCCCGGGGCUCAACCCCGGAAGUGCAUUUGAUACUAUUCGGCUUGAGUAUGGGAGAGGGAAGUGGAAUUCCUGGUGUAGAGGUGAAAUUCGUAGAUAUCAGGAGGAACACCGGUGGCGAAGGCAACUUCCUGGACCAAUACUGACGCUGAGGCGCGAAGGCGUGGGGAGCAAAC